CCCAGAUCCACCCACUGCACGCCCUGCAGCUGUCCGUCGCACACCAGCACGGCGCCAUUGUCCUUCUGCGCAGGCAUCACCCAAAAUCAAUCGCACGAGUUCCACUCAAAGUCGAACAGCAGCAAAAGCGACGUUUGGGCUCACCAAGCAGCCAGCGGCGUCAGCCCCGCCAGCACACACCAUCCCCAAGCUCCAGAACAGGCGGCGGACGUCACCAGCCACCAGCGGUUUACGAGGGCGCCGCUGCAUCUCUUCCAGGGGGUCUGAAGCCACACCUGCCAGGGUCUGGAGUGAGGCUGGCACAGGUUGUCGUCCAUCAGCGGCGACGCACCUGUUGACGCUCAUCAUUAAGCCACCAUCCCAAUUGAGCGUGCGCGGCAGCAAUCGUUUACCUGCGAGGCCCAAAACGAGAAGCAGAAGAAGACGCUCCAUGUUGUCGAUGGCGGCAGACGGCGGCAGCCCUCUCCUUAUAUAAGGAGCGAAGGAGGGUCAUGAUUUGCCAUCACUUCCCGUCCGCAUGUGACCUUUGUAAUAACGUUCACACACGAAGGGUCACACCUUGUUUCCAGUAAUCAUCUCGUCGUUCCUCAAGAACAAUAAAAUGUUCUUGCAGCAGCAGUCGGGUGACGAUAGCGUCCCUUUCUACCUCAUCCAUAUAACCCGGAGGGAUGUGCACACUUUUGUGUUCAUGUGCAGCAUGUGAUCGACCAGCUCAUCCAUCAAUGAGGCUAAAAAAAGUUUCAGCGUGUUUGUAAAAUUGUUUUAUUUUAAUAAUGACAUGUACAGGUUAAAACUAAAACUACAAAAUGUU
Long non-coding RNA from Syngnathus typhle (broad-nosed pipefish), 811 nucleotides. RefSeq lists it as uncharacterized. The record is from RefSeq and is a predicted model, not a curated record. The transcript has 2 exons. Lineage: Eukaryota; Metazoa; Chordata; Actinopteri; Syngnathiformes; Syngnathidae.